AACGAACGCUGGCGGCAGGCUUAACACAUGCAAGUCGAACGCCCCGCAAGGGGAGUGGCAGACGGGUGAGUAACGCGUGGGAAUCUACCGUACCCUACGGAAUAACGCAUGGAAACGUGUGCUAAUACCGUAUACGCCCUACGGGGAAAGAUUUAUCGGGGUAUGAUGAGCCCGCGUUGGAUUAGCUAGUUGGUGGGGUA
This 200-nucleotide ribosomal RNA is filed under the name uncultured bacterium. RNAcentral's name for it is "partial 16S ribosomal RNA". It matches the Rfam family "Bacterial small subunit ribosomal RNA", at positions 29 to 259 of the family's 1533-position model. The record is from RNAcentral.